This 843-nucleotide ribosomal RNA is filed under the name Dirina paradoxa. RNAcentral describes it as "LSU rRNA". It matches the Rfam family "Eukaryotic large subunit ribosomal RNA", at positions 40 to 899 of the family's 3401-position model. The record is from RNAcentral. Lineage: Eukaryota; Fungi; Ascomycota; Arthoniomycetes; Arthoniales; Roccellaceae.
AUAUCAAUAAGCGGAGGAAAGGAAACCAACGGGGAUUGCCCCAGUAACGGCGAGUGAAGCGGCAACAGCUCAAAUUUGAAAUCUGGCCCCUCUGGGGUCCGAGUUGUAAUUUGCAGAGGGUGCUUCGGCGUCGGCCCCGGGUCAAGUCCCCUGGAACGAGGCGCCCUAGAGGGUGAGAGCCCCGUACCUACCCGGGUGUCCUCCGCCGUGUGAAGCCCCUUCGACGAGUCGAGUUGUUUGGGAAUGCAGCUCUAAGCGGGAGGUAUAUUUCUUCCAAGGCUAAAUACCGGCCAGAGACCGAUAGCGCACAAGUAGAGUGAUCGAAAGAUGAAAAGCACUUUGGAAAGAGAGUUAAAAAGCACGUGAAAUUGUUGAAAGGGAAGCUCUUGCCGCCAGACUUGCCGCGGUCGUUCGACCGCCCUCCGGGGCGGUGCACUCCUCCGCCGGCAGGCCAGCGUCGGUUCCGGCGACCGGAUAAAGGCCCCGGGAAUGUGGCACCCUCCGGGGUGUGUUAUAGCCCGGGGUGCAAUGCGGUCAGCCCGGUCCGAGGCACGCGUUCGCGAGGACGCUGGCGUAAUGGCGGCAAGCGACCCGUCUUGAAACACGGACCAAGGAGUCUAACAUCUGUGCGAGUGUUUGGGCGUCAAACCCAUGCGCGCAAUGAAAGUGAACGGAGGUGGGAACCCCCUCCGAGGGGCGCACCAUCGACCGAUCCUGAUGUCUUCGGAUGGAUUUGAGUAAGAGCACAGCUGUCGGGACCCGAAAGAUGGUGAACUAUUCCCGGAUAGGGUGAAGCCAGAGGAAACUCUGGUGGAGGCUCGCAGCGGUUCUGACGUGCAAAUC